Molecule: small RNA, 3180 nt
Filed under: Rattus norvegicus (Norway rat)
Lineage: Eukaryota; Metazoa; Chordata; Mammalia; Rodentia; Muridae
Description: uncharacterized LOC108348824
Source: RNAcentral
GCGCUUCCUAGGCAAGCGCUUUACCACUGAGCUAAAUCCCCAACCCCCCCUUUUUAAACAAGUACAAAGUCACUCAGAGAACCCUCAGGAGCAGGUUUCCCAGUGCCUGGUGCUUCAGAGAGGGGCGGCAAGACUCACAGAAGCUAAGUAGGGCAGGCAGUGGCAGCUUGGAGACAAGAUGAAGUAAGUUACCCUGCAUCCGGGGAACAGAGAAAAAUAAACUACUCACAGGCUCAAGGUGGCAAGAAGCAGAAGCCCGGGAGAAGCAGAAGACCCGAAGAAGCACAGCCUGGUCAUUUUGCACCAGUAGUGGAACGAUCACGUGAUACGUUAUCAACACCAACUCUGUACCAAGGUAGGGCUCAUGUUCCCACAAUUGCCGAGGCUGUGCCAACAGCAGCAGCCCUCCACUCCCAGGAGGAUUCCCCAGUCCUACUGCUGUCUCAUUGGAAAACCCCACUAGGGCUAUACAGUGCAACCUCCCUGACUGCUGUAGCCUCACCCUGCUGGGCCAAUGGGGCCAUGAUCUACCAUCUUGUCUCAGAUCCUCCUAGAAGACAAGGAUCCAUAGUGUGGUCUCUUCCAUAUCCCACGCUCAUGUUUUUGUGCUUCAUGUUGGCUCUGCUACUUUAAGUUGUCACAAGCGUAGGACAGAAGUGUUGUCUCGUGCCCUUAGCACAGGUGGCUGUAACGUGUCUCACGGAGAAGAGGCAUGCGUAGAAAAAGCUUCAUCUCAGGCACACUGUGUUGCUGGCUGUGGGUUCAGUCAUAAUGACUCCACAGUGCGUGGGAAACAAGGUUUUUCAGCGUCUGCAGUAACCGAAGGAAACAGGCCAACAGUGACCACGUAACCACACACUGGAGUAAGGUGUCUGACCUAACCUUCUGCUUGACGAAGCUGACUCAAUAUCGGCCUUCACUCUACAGAUGCCAAUAGAAUCCUGAGGGCCAAAUCAAAAGACCUGACUACAGGAGAUGAAGAACAGUUGCCUUGCUACUCUCCCAGAGUCAACGGUUUUUCCACUUCAAUCAUUCUCCCUUUAACCAACAGGAGUAAAGAAUGGCUGUCCCCUGACAAGCUCCACCCAGCAGCUGACUCAGACAGAUGCGGACACCCACAGCCAAACAGUGAAUAGAGCGUGGGGACGCUUAUGGAAGAACAGGAGGAAGGAUUGUGGCUUCCUGGAGGAGAGAGGAACUCCACGGGAAGACCGAAUGAACCAACUAACCUGCAUCCUCAGGGCUCUCAGAGACUGAACUAUCAACCAAAGAACAUACACAGGCUGGACCUAGGACUUCCUGCACAUCUGUAGAAGUGCAGCUUGGUCUCCACGUGGUUCCCAAACAACUGGAAGGGGUGGGGGGAAGGGAGCUUUGAAAGCCCACCCCCCAGUGACACGCUUCCUCCAACAAGGCCACACCUCUUACUCCUUUUAACCCUAUCAAAGAAUUCCACAACCUGGUGCCCAAGCCCUGGAAUACCUGAGUCUAUGCGACCAUUCUUAUUCAAACCACCACGUGGUCUGUCGUGGCAAGGAAAACACAGGCACAGAAGCGAAAGACCUGGUCACGCUGCACCCUGCCUGGAAGCAGAGAGAACAGGUGCCCUUACCCACUGAGCCAUCCUCAGCUCAAGAAAAAUUUUUGAGAAGUUAACUGAGCCAACUUUUAGGGAUUUUUUGUUUCUUUCGUUUUUUUCUUUUUGUUUUGUUUUUUGGUUUUGUUUUGUUUUGGAUUUUGGGUUUGUUUGUUUUUUUUGUUUUUGUUUUUGUUUUUUGGAAACAAGGUUUCACAAUGUAGCUUUCAAGACUAGCCUUGCACUCCCACUGAAGACUUGGUCCCUAGGUAGCUGUGCUAUUUUAGAAAAUGCUGGAAACUACUUUACCUAGUAUGGCCUUGUGGGAAGAAACAUGUCAGUCAGGAGAGCGUCCUUAGGAGAACGUGCCUGCCACUGGUAUACUUUACCUCACGGUGGUCUGAAGCAUCAGAGCCUGUUCAUAACCUGAAACCUGUGAAAACCUGUCAAAAUCCAUUCUUCUUCCUCCGCUUCCUUCAGACACUUGUCACAGUGACUAUGAGAGAGAGAGAGAGAGAGAGAGAGAGAGAGAGAGAAGAAAAAAAACUGACUUCAUGCCUCCCACAAGCUUCAUAGAUAAUGAAUAGAUAAUGGCUAUAACUAUUAAGUACCCAGAAUCCGGAAGAUGUUAAAUACUGUUAAUGGUUUCCAGCAUGACUUCCUUAUUCAGAUGAGGGGGCUGGGUUUAAAGAUAUCAGAGACAAACACUCACAAGAAGCCUAUGAAAGCCAGCAGUAUAAUCUGUCUUCCUCCUACACUCACAUGCACACACAUGUGCACACACACGUGCACACACACACAACCGCACACAACCACACAACCUCUGAAUGCCCUUCAGAACGUCCUGAAGCACUUAUGAGGCCGAGGUCAGGCUGCUGGCUGACUGUCAGAUACUGGGGCAUCGCUACUCUCUGAGAGAGGCCCUAAGCAGGAACUGAGUAACAGUCACAGUGAUGGAUGAUGGGCCGAGGUUUUGUGUUCUAUUUCUAACAGCUUAUCUCUGCUAGAUCCGGGAUUUCUGAGAUAACAUGUAACCGAAAGAAAUGCCAGCCAUCACUUCCUAAGUGAGACUGCACAGGCAUGGUGCUUGCAAGUUCUCCUUUCAGUUCACUUACGAGUGAAACACUGGGGCCUGGGGUAAUGAUGCACACCUGUAAUCCCCACACAAGAGGCAGAGACAGAAACAUCAGGAGUUCAAAGCCAGCCUUGGCCACACUGAGUGUGAGGUCAGCUUGCAGGGGAAAGAUGUGUAUCUAUGAUACUCAGUGUUAACUGAAGGCAGAUUAAUCAACCAGAAAGAAUGUACGUAAAGGCAAAGUAUUCAUGUUGAGCUACCUACGCUUUCCCCACGAGUAUCACAGAGGGACGGACCCUUUGGGCAGCAAUUAAAAAAGACCCCUGCCACUCAAGAUUUCUGCUUGCACAAAGUCCUUGAACCAGAAAGAGACAAUUUUAUGCCACGGGAUGCUGUGUCUGGAAAUCAGACUUCUGAGCUGGGAAGCUGACAAACAUCGCAAACACCAUUUAAUAAACCCCAGAAACAGGACUGGAGAGAUAGUUCAGCAGUUAAGAGCACUGACUGCUCUUCCAGAGGUGGUUCUGAG